UGCGGAUUAAUGUAAUAGUAACAUAUUUGACUCAUGAUCAAAAGACGUUGGUGCAAAUCCUUCAUCCGCAU
Molecule: transfer RNA, 71 nt
Filed under: Scedosporium boydii
Lineage: Eukaryota; Fungi; Ascomycota; Sordariomycetes; Microascales; Microascaceae
Also listed under: 1 other name
Description: tRNA-Met
Rfam family: tRNA
About the family: Transfer RNA (tRNA) molecules are approximately 80 nucleotides in length. Their secondary structure includes four short double-helical elements and three loops (D, anti-codon, and T loops). Further hydrogen bonds mediate the characteristic L-shaped molecular structure. tRNAs have two regions of fundamental functional importance: the anti-codon, which is responsible for specific mRNA codon recognition, and the 3' end, to which the tRNAs corresponding amino acid is attached (by aminoacyl-tRNA synthetases). tRNAs cope with the degeneracy of the genetic code in two manners: having more than one tRNA (with a specific anti-codon) for a particular amino acid; and 'wobble' base-pairing, i.e. permitting non-standard base-pairing at the 3rd anti-codon position.
Source: RNAcentral